Heterocephalus glaber (naked mole-rat) is the source of this 129-nucleotide ribosomal RNA. NCBI's taxonomy places the organism in Eukaryota, Metazoa, Chordata, Mammalia, Rodentia, Bathyergidae. The record is from Ensembl.
UCUAAUGGCCAUAACACCCUGAAUGUGCCUGGUCUUGUCUUGUCUUGUCUGAUCCUGGAAGCUAAGCAGGGUUGGGUCUGGUUAGUACUUCAAUGGGAGACCGCCUAGGAAUACCAGGUGCUGUAGGCU